Molecule: transfer RNA, 74 nt
Filed under: Gemmatimonadota bacterium
Lineage: Bacteria; Pseudomonadati; Gemmatimonadota
Also listed under: 1 other name
Description: Gemmatimonadetes bacterium (beach sand metagenome) tRNA-Arg
Rfam family: tRNA
About the family: Transfer RNA (tRNA) molecules are approximately 80 nucleotides in length.
Source: RNAcentral
GCGCCCGUAGCUCAGCUGGAUAGAGCGCUGCCCUCCGGAGGCAGAGGUCAGAGGUUCGAAUCCUCUCGGGCGUA